This is a non-coding RNA of Caenorhabditis elegans, 150 nucleotides long. NCBI's taxonomy places the organism in Eukaryota, Metazoa, Nematoda, Chromadorea, Rhabditida, Rhabditidae. The record is from Ensembl.
UUGAAAAGAGCCCAGCGCGUGUAACUUGAUAUCUGCAGAGCUUUGAUCAGCUGCGCAAUGAGACUAGGAUACAGUGUCUCAAUUUUUGGAACGGCGAGGGAAAGGGAGUGUCUUCUUUUGUCACCGCCCGGGUGUCAACAGGUGUGAAGC